This is a long non-coding RNA of Lathyrus oleraceus (garden pea), 890 nucleotides long. RefSeq lists it as uncharacterized. The record is from RefSeq and is a predicted model, not a curated record. The transcript is spliced from 3 exons. NCBI's taxonomy places the organism in Eukaryota, Viridiplantae, Streptophyta, Magnoliopsida, Fabales, Fabaceae.
UCCAAACUUUUUUCAUCUUUUUUUCUCUUCAUAAUUCUUCAAAUUCCAAACUCUAAUCCUCUUUUGUAUCUUAAUUCUCCAAAUCACAAUCAUGGGGUUAUCGAAAUAGUUGUAAAACCGACAAAAUUGUUCUUCAAAUCCGACGAGCUCGUCCUUCAACAACGCCUCUAAGAUUGCUCUUCUCUCACUAACAAGUGUUUCAGGUUCAAGAGAAAACUCUGCUAACAUUUUUACUCUACAUUUUCCAUUGAUAUUCAGGGUCAAGAAUGAAAGCAUGUGUUGAUGCCUCCUUGCUUGGACUUGUUGAUUCAUUUAUCCAAGUAUAUGGUAGCAUUGGAAGAACACAUUUAGCCAAGUAUUUCAAUUAUGCUAACUUGCAUAUACAGAAUACCAAAGCCAUUGAGUGUUGUGGCCAAUGGAAACCCAAUCUCCAGGAAGUUCUGUUGCUGCCUGCUCCCCACCCAAUGGAGCAAAUUGCCCAAAAUGCUUAUACCUUUUCAUAAUAACAAGAUAUCAUCAUGAAUUCCAAAUAAAGAAAACAAUAUUUCUUUUGCAGUUGUUCCACAUUGUCUCUUUCUCUCUUUCAUUGCGAAUAUUAACUUGUCUGCAUAUGUAUAUUGGUGUAGUUGUGUUGCUAUCUGUUGCUGCUGCCUAUUGGAUGUCUGCUUCUAAAAAGUUCAAUUUCUAGUUUUGCAGUCCACUGCUCUCUACCACACUCCCUUGUGAAAUGGAUUCAAUUGCAAAGAUGUUGCAAUGUGAGCCUAGUUUGUUGUUAAAACACUGAAUUGCCAGUCUUGGAAUGGUAGGAGUUUGUGCUUGCUUCUUGCAACCCGGUUACAAUGUAUACCUGUGCAGUUGCUGGAAGAGUCUUCACUUAUGAACCUGCAACA